Molecule: ribosomal RNA, 252 nt
Filed under: uncultured bacterium
Lineage: Bacteria
Description: partial 16S ribosomal RNA
Rfam family: Bacterial small subunit ribosomal RNA
Source: RNAcentral
UACGGAGGAUGCGAGCGUUAUCCGGAUUUAUUGGGUUUAAAGGGUGCGCAGGCGGCAAGGCAAGCCGGCGGUCAAAUCGCGGGGCUCAACCCCGCCCAGCCGUCGGAACUGCCGGGCUAGAGUGGGCGAGAAGUGCGCGGAAUGCGUGGUGUAGCGGUGAAAUACAUAGAUAUCACGCAGAACUCCGAUUGCGAAGGCAGCGCACCGGCGCCCUACUGACGCUCAGGCACGAAAGCGUGGGUAUCGAACAGG